UGUCCAGGGGCGGGAAUCGAACCCACGACCUUCCGCUUACCGGGCAGAUGCCAUGUCCACUAGGUUCGAUUCCCGCCCCUGGAC
Molecule: transfer RNA, 84 nt
Filed under: Cordylochernes scorpioides
Lineage: Eukaryota; Metazoa; Arthropoda; Arachnida; Pseudoscorpiones; Chernetidae
Description: tRNA-Thr
Source: RNAcentral